AAAAAGACAAACUCUUCUGGUUUCCGUGUUCAACGUUUGACCGUCCAUCUUAUUUAAAAGAAUUAUGAAAAAAAUUAAAAAGAUAAGUCACGUAUAAAUAUUAAUCAUGUUUUAUCAUCUAACGACAAUGAAAAUACUAAUUAUACAAAAAUUUCAUAUAAGACGGGCAGUCAAACGUUGACACGGGAACUCACGGUUUAUCUUUUU
Oryza meridionalis is the source of this 207-nucleotide non-coding RNA. Lineage: Eukaryota; Viridiplantae; Streptophyta; Magnoliopsida; Poales; Poaceae. The record is from Rfam.